This 424-nucleotide ribosomal RNA is filed under the name uncultured bacterium. RNAcentral's name for it is "bacterial SSU rRNA". It matches the Rfam family "Bacterial small subunit ribosomal RNA", at positions 355 to 775 of the family's 1533-position model. The record is from RNAcentral.
UGAGGAAUAUUGGUCAAUGGGCGCAAGCCUGAACCAGCCAUCCCGCGUGCAGGAAGACGGCGCUAUGCGUUGUAAACUGCUUUUCCAGGGAGAGAAACUCGCGCACGUGUUGCGCAAUUGACGGUACCCUGGGAAUAAGCAUCGGCUAACUCCGUGCCAGCAGCCGCGGUAAUACGGAGGAUGCGAACGUUAUCCGGAUUCAUUGGGUUUAAAGGGUGCGUAGGCGGACUAUUAAGUCAGUGGUGAAAUCCUGCAGCUUAACUGCAGAACUGCCAUUGAUACUGAUAGCCUUGAGUUUGGUUAAGGUAGGCGGAAUGUGUAAUGUAGCGGUGAAAUGCUUAGAUAUUACACAGAACACCAAUUGCGUAGGCAGCUUGCUGAGCCGACACUGACGCUGAGGCACGAAAGCGUGGGGAUCGAACAG